GUGAGCAACCUGCCCCCAACUCUGGGAUAACUCCGGGAAACCGGAGCUAAUACCGGAUACGAGACACUCGGGCAUCCGACGUGUCUGGAAAGAUUUAUCGGUUGGGGAUGGGCUCGCGGCCUAUCAGCUUGUUGGUGGGGUAAUGGCCCACCAAGGCGACGACGGGUAGCCGGCCUGAGAGGGCGACCGGCCACACUGGGACUGAGACACGGCCCAGACUCCUACGGGAGGCAGCAGUGGGGAAUAUUGCGCAAUGGGCGAAAGCCUGACGCAGCGACGCCGCGUGAGGGACGAAGGCCUUCGGGUUGUAAACCUCUUUCAGCAGGGAAGAAGCGAAAGUGACGGUACCUGCAGAAGAAGCACCGGCUAACUACGUGCCAGCAGCCGCGGUAAUACGUAGGGUGCAAGCGUUGUCCGGAAUUAUUGGGCGUAAAGAGCUCGUAGGCGGUUUGUCGCGUCUGCUGUGAAAACUCGGUGCUUAACCCCGGGCCUGCAGUGGGUACGGGCAGACUAGAGUGCGGUAGGGGAGACUGGAAUUCCUGGUGUAGCGGUGAAAUGCGCAGAUAUCAGGAGGAACACCGGUGGCGAAGGCGGGUCUCUGGGCCGUAACUGACGCUGAGGAGCGAAAGCAUGGGGAGCGAACAGGAUUAGAUACCCUGGUAGUCCAUGCCGUAAACGUUGGGCGCUAGGUGUGGGGCUCUUUCCACGAGUUCCGUGCCGCAGCAAACGCAUUAAGCGCCCCGCCUGGGGAGUACGGCCGCAAGGCUAAAACUAAAGGAAUUGACGGGGGCCCGCACAAGCGGCGGAGCAUGCGGAUUAAUUCGAUGCAACGCGAAGAACCUUACCAAGGCUUGACAUGAACGGUAAUCCGGCAGAGACGUCGGGUCCGUAAGGGCCGUUCACAGGUGGUGCAUGGUUGUCGUCAGCUCGUGUCGUGAGAUGUUGGGUUAAGUCCCGCAACGAGCGCAACCCUCGUUCUAUGUUGCCAGCACGUAAUGGUGGGGACUCAUAGGAGACUGCCGGGGUCAACUCGGAGGAAGGUGGGGAUGACGUCAAAUCAUCAUGCCCCUUAUGUCUUGGGCUUCACGCAUGCUACAGUGGCCAGUACAAAGGGCUGCGAGACCGUAAGGUGGAGCGAAUCCCAAAAAGCUGGUCUCAGUUCGGAUCGGGGUCUGCAACUCGACCCCGUGAAGUCGGAGUCGCUAGUAAUCGCAGAUCAGCAACGCUGCGGUGAAUACGUUCCCGGGCCUUGUACACACCGCCCGUCACGUCACGAAAGUCGGUAACACCCGAAGCCGGUGGCCCAACCCUUGUGGAGGGAGCCGUCGAAGGUGGGACUGGCGAUU
Molecule: ribosomal RNA, 1346 nt
Filed under: metagenome
Description: bacterial SSU rRNA
Rfam family: Bacterial small subunit ribosomal RNA
Source: RNAcentral